Arabidopsis thaliana (thale cress) is the source of this 312-nucleotide long non-coding RNA. RefSeq annotates it as other RNA. NCBI's taxonomy places the organism in Eukaryota, Viridiplantae, Streptophyta, Magnoliopsida, Brassicales, Brassicaceae. The record is from RefSeq. The transcript has a single exon.
GUCGUCUUUUUUGGCUUCUGUGUGUGUCGCUUCCACUAUAUUAGUUGAUUCUUUGUGAAGCAUAAAAUUCUUGCUAUUCAAUGUCGAGGCGGGGACACCGUGUUUGUAUAAGUUCCACAUAUAAGGCAUAUGAGUCUUGAAUCCUAAGACACCAACAAAGAUGACAAAUGGACCGAUAUGAAAACAAACUCUUCUCCCAUUGCCCAUCUCAUCACACGACCCUCAUGCCUCUUUGUUACAGUUACCAAAUUUAUUAUUUAUGUCGAAUUGGUUGAUUUAGUUAGAGUUGUGUGAAAUUUUAUAUAUCUACGG